Molecule: non-coding RNA, 795 nt
Organism: Salvia hispanica
Lineage: Eukaryota; Viridiplantae; Streptophyta; Magnoliopsida; Lamiales; Lamiaceae
Source: RefSeq, a predicted model, not a curated record
GAGAUAGAGAGAGAGAAAAGGAUUCCUGAGACUGCAGAAGCUGCUUUAACACAUGGUGAAGAUGGAAAGCGACGCAAAACGGCGUCGUGUGGGCUCCUGCUGCGCAGCGGUGGGAGUGGAGAUUAAUCAUUGAUGUACAGUUAUACUCCGUAUGAGAGUUCAAUGAGACCACACUUCCAUUUAGAACAAGAUUCAUGGUUCUUCAGUGAGAUGGUAUUCUCACCAGGCCUAGCCACUUUCUUUGCCUCAAUUAGCAUCUGAUCCAGCAAAUGUGCAUUCAGCAAGCUUCGUAGAUUGUGAGGCGUAAGCUCAGCAAUCAUCCGAGCAAUACUGUCCGUGCUGCAAGAACUGUCCAGCUCAAAACCACAUAACAUAUCGCUCUCCCCUUUAAUGCUCGCCUUCUUCUCAAGAAUCAUGGCAAGAUCUUCGCAAGUCAGGUCGUCGAACUGUAGCCUUGUUGAGAGCCUUCUGUACAAAUUGAGGUUGCACUUCAUGUAUUGGUUCAAGGCCCUGUGAUUCCCGGCUAACACGAUUAAUGACUUUCCCUUGUCUAUCGCAGCUAUGAGCUCCUCCAUUGUAUCCGAACUAAUGGGAUCUUCCUCGUCUAUCUUCACAAGCAGCAAGCCGCCAUUUGCAUCUCUCAUCUGGUCAUGUCAACAACACUUUGUUGUGUGGUGUGAUUCUAAGAAAUUCUGUAUUAUGCUAAACAAACCUUUUGAUGUCCUCGCAUUUCAGUCACAGUGUAUGAAGACAAAACUCCGGCCAAAUAAAAUAGUUUACCAAUUAUUCGAGCUA